AUUGAACGCUGGCGGCAUGCCUUACACAUGCAAGUCGAACGGUAACGGGCCUUCGGGUGCCGACGAGUGGCGAACGGUUGAGUAAUACAUCGGAACGUGCCCGAUCGUGGGGGAUAACGAGGCGAAAGCUUUGCUAAUACCGCAUACGAUCUACGGAUGAAAGCAGGGGACCGCAAGGCCUUGCGCGGGCGGAGCGGCCGAUGGCAGAUUAGGUAGUUGGUGGGAUAAAAGCUUACCAAGCCGACGAUCUGUAGCUGGUCUGAGAGGAUGAUCAGCCGCACUGGGACUGUGACACGGCACAGAGUCCUACGGGAGGCAGCAGUGGGGAAUUGUGGGCAAUGGGCGGAAGCCUGAUCCAGCCAUGCCGCGUGCAGGAUGAAGGCCUUCGGGUUGUAAACUGCUGCUGUACGGAACGAAAAGCCUUUUUUUAAUACAGGAGGGUCAUGACGGUACCGGAAGAAUAAGCAACGGCUAACUACGUG
This 482-nucleotide ribosomal RNA is filed under the name uncultured bacterium. Its description in RNAcentral is "partial 16S ribosomal RNA". It matches the Rfam family "Bacterial small subunit ribosomal RNA", at positions 30 to 507 of the family's 1533-position model. The record is from RNAcentral.